RNAcentral lists this long non-coding RNA (821 nucleotides) under Homo sapiens (human). Its description in RNAcentral is "HSALNT0330960". The record is from RNAcentral. Lineage: Eukaryota; Metazoa; Chordata; Mammalia; Primates; Hominidae.
GAAAUGUCGUGAGAUAUAGAAAUCUGCUAUAUUAAACUCAUCCUGAAGAAUUAGUAUUGUCCUCAGUUGUGGUCCUGAACAUUCCAAAAAGAGCUUAUGCCAUCGAUGUUAUUAUGAGUUUUCAGAGGUUGCUCUGACAUCAGGGGCUGUGUCACAAAGCCUUCUGUCUGAUCAUUUUCAACUAACUAUACACGUUGGCAGACACAUCACUUCAUCACUUCCCUGAAGAAGAGAAGCUGCAUGCCGAAUAUUUGCAAAGAGAUUGCUUUGUCCUGAAUUUCACUCUAGAAAUUGCAGAAACCAAGACUUCCACGAUGUCUAUUAAACAGAUGUCUACAAAUAAGAAGAUAAACUUUUCUCUGGAUAACUGGAAAGAAUCCUAGAAAUCAGAGUAUUGUGCCCUUUGAAAAAUAUUGAAGAAACUCUACAAAGUCUUGCUCUUCAACACAGUUUUUUGGACUCCAUACAGAACACUCUGCAUUAUGACCAGACAAUGGACUUAUUGCCACGGUGGAAUAAAGGUUAGAUUUUAAUCUGUGUAGUUUGUGCCUGCCCAGUAUUCGUUCAUUCUUCCUCCAGUAGUGAAGGCCAGAAUUCCCUCUGAAGAGCCAGUUCCUCCCAUCUAUGACUCUUAGUCCAUCUGAUUCUGGUGGAGCCCACUUCUUCCCCACUCCAGCGUGGUCCCAAGUCUCAGACUCAAGCCAAUCAGUGCAUCCCAAACCCAGGAUUGCUCUAGGAUGGUCAUGUGAUUCAACUAAGCUAAGAAGAGGCAGAUCCAGGACUUUAAAAAACAAACAAUAAACUCCUGAAACAACUCCCCA